Long non-coding RNA from Marmota monax (woodchuck), 431 nucleotides. RefSeq lists it as uncharacterized. Lineage: Eukaryota; Metazoa; Chordata; Mammalia; Rodentia; Sciuridae. The transcript has 3 exons. The record is from RefSeq and is a predicted model, not a curated record.
GAAAACCUGGUAGAAUGGGCGUGUGAAUUUCUUGGUGCAGGACAGGAAUGUCCAGAGCUGGGGAACUUAAGUAACUCAAAGCAGCUGAUGAAAUACAAGAGCAUGGAAAGUUUCAAAUCCCAGUGCAAAUUUGGAUUCAUCAAGGACCAUUUGCCAGAGAGUGGAGUCAAUGGCAAAAGAGCUUCUACCGUUUCUCCCAUUCAUUAACUGGGUUUAUACUUAGGUUCAGGUAUUGGCAGUUUUAUUUCCAUAGGUACACUAGGUGGCUGAGCUUUUGUUCCAAGAACAUAUCACCUUCUCUCUUGACAUCAGAAACAGUCAUCAGGAUCUCUGUGGCAUUCUUUUGAAUAUCUUCUAUGAAGAACAAUUAAUUCUUUGAGGAAGAGGAUCUCUUGAGACUUUCACUACUAUUCAGAAUUGAAUCUGAGAAG